AAUGGAAGAAGGCGGGGCGACGUCAAGUCAUAUGGCCUUACGGCCAGGGCUACACACGUCUACAAUGGUCGGACAAAGGGUUGCUACACAGCGAUGUGUUUUUUGGAAGGGAAAGCCGAUCGUAGUCCGGAUUGGAGUCUGCAACUCGACUCCAUGAAGUCGGAAUCGCUAGUAAUCGCGGAUCAGAUGCCCGGUGAAUACGUUCCCGGGCCUUGUACACCCCCCCCGUCUCACCAUGGGAGUUUGUUGCACCAGAAGUAGCUAGCCUAACUGCAAAGAGGGCGGUACCAACGGU
This 295-nucleotide ribosomal RNA is filed under the name Acinetobacter baumannii. RNAcentral's name for it is "partial 16S ribosomal RNA". It matches the Rfam family "Bacterial small subunit ribosomal RNA", at positions 1162 to 1463 of the family's 1533-position model. The record is from RNAcentral. Lineage: Bacteria; Pseudomonadati; Pseudomonadota; Gammaproteobacteria; Moraxellales; Moraxellaceae.